UACGAAGGGGGCUAGCGUUGCUCGGAAUCACUGGGCGUAAAGGGUGCGUAGGCGGUCCUUUAAGUCAGGGGUGAAAUCCUGGAGCUCAACUCCAGAACUGCCUUUGAUACUGAAGAUCUUGAGUUCGGGAGAGGUGAGUGGAACUGCGAGUGUAGAGGUGAAAUUCGUAGAUAUUGGGAAGAACACCAGUGGCGAAGGCGGCUCUCUGGCCCGGACCUGACGCUGAGGCGCGAAAGCGUGGGGAGCAAACAGG
This 253-nucleotide ribosomal RNA is filed under the name uncultured bacterium. RNAcentral's name for it is "partial 16S ribosomal RNA". It matches the Rfam family "Bacterial small subunit ribosomal RNA", at positions 524 to 776 of the family's 1533-position model. The record is from RNAcentral.